This 185-nucleotide microRNA precursor is filed under the name Setaria italica (foxtail millet). RNAcentral's name for it is "MIR1435 microRNA precursor family". It matches the Rfam family "MIR1435 microRNA precursor family". The record is from Rfam by way of RNAcentral. Lineage: Eukaryota; Viridiplantae; Streptophyta; Magnoliopsida; Poales; Poaceae.
UAGUUUUGUCAUAAGUCAAACUAUCUCAAGUUUGACCAAGUUUAUAAGGAAGGACAUCAACUUUUAUGAUACAAAAAUAUAUUUCAUAGCAAAUCUAGUGAUACUUAUUUGGUAUCAUAAGUCCUUGUACAAUUUUAUAUAAACUUGGUCAAACUUAAGAUUGUUUGACUUAGGACAAAACUAUA